Molecule: ribosomal RNA, 460 nt
Filed under: uncultured bacterium
Lineage: Bacteria
Description: partial 16S ribosomal RNA
Rfam family: Bacterial small subunit ribosomal RNA
Source: RNAcentral
CCUACGGGUGGCAGCAGUGAGGAAUAUUGGUCAAUGGACGAGAGUCUGAACCAGCCAAGUAGCGUGAAGGAUGAAUGCCCUAUGGGUUGUAAACUUCUUUUAUAUGGGAAUAAAAUGUUACACGUGUGGGAUUUUGUAUGUACCAUAUGAAUAAGGAUCGGAUAACUCCGUGCCAGCAGCCGCGGUAAUACGGAGGAUCCGAGCGUUAUGCGGAUUUAUUGGGUUUAAAGGGAGCGUAGGUGGAUUGUUAAGUCAGUUGUGAAAGUUUGCGGCUCAACCGUAAAAUUGCAGUUGAAACUGGCAGUCUUGAGUACAGUAGAGGUGGGCGGAAUUCGUGGUGUAGCGGUGAAAUGCUUAGAUAUCACGAAGAACUCCGAUUGCGAAGGCAGUUCACUGGACUGCAACUGACACUGAGGCUCGAAAGUGUGGGUAUCAAACAGGAUUAGAUACCCCUGUAGUC